UAGUUGUCAGUAGCCUACUCCAUACACCAUCAAUUAUGACAAAUAGUAUUAUAAAGUGUACUCUAUGAAAUGCUCAGGAUGAUGUGGAUGAAGAAACCGUUUCUGCUGCCACAGACAGGCCUACAGAGAGUUAUGGAAGAACGGCAGGAGGAAGGUCCAUCAACUUCUGGUGCACAGAUGGACACAGUUCAGUGAUUUACAGUGGUGAAAAAAAUGAAAUGAAGCAG
This is a long non-coding RNA of Fundulus heteroclitus (mummichog), 227 nucleotides long. RefSeq lists it as uncharacterized. The transcript is spliced from 3 exons. NCBI's taxonomy places the organism in Eukaryota, Metazoa, Chordata, Actinopteri, Cyprinodontiformes, Fundulidae. The record is from RefSeq and is a predicted model, not a curated record.